AUACCGGCAGCUCGAGUGAUGGCCGCUGUUAUUGGGCCUAAAGCGUCCGUAGCCGGCCGGACAAGUCCGUUGGGAAAUCCGUUCGCUUAACGAACGGGCGUCCAGCGGAAACUGUCCGGCUUGGGGCCGGAAGAUCCGAGGGGUACGUCCGGGGUAGGAGUGAAAUCCCGUAAUCCUGGACGGACCGCCGGUGGCGAAAGCGCCUCGGAAAGACGGACCCGACGGUGAGGGACGAAAGCCAGGGUCUCGAACCGGAUUAGAUACCCGGGUAGUCCUGGCUGUAAACGAUGCCCGCUAGGUGUGGCGCAGGCUACGAGCCUGCGCUGUGCCGUAGGGAAGCCGUGAAGCGGGCCGCCUGGGAAGUACGUCUGCAAGGAUGAA
Molecule: ribosomal RNA, 381 nt
Filed under: uncultured bacterium
Lineage: Bacteria
Also listed under: 1 other name
Description: bacterial SSU rRNA
Rfam family: Archaeal small subunit ribosomal RNA
Source: RNAcentral